CUACGGGGCGCUGCAGUAAGGAAUAUUGGGCAAUGGACGCAAGUCUGACCCAGCCAUGCCGCGUGCAGGAUGACAGCCCUACGGGUUGUAAACUGCUUUUGUACGGGAAAAAUUCCCUGGUCGUGAACCGGGGUUGAUGGUACCGUAAGAAUAAGCAUCGGCUAACUCCGUGCCAGCAGCCGCGGUAAUACGGAGGAUGCAAGCGUUAUCCGGAUUCAUUGGGUUUAAAGGGUGCGCAGGCGGAAUGAUAAGUCAGUGGUGAAAUCCUACAGCUCAACUAUAGAACUGCCAUUGAUACUGUUGUUCUUGAGUACAUUUGUAGUGGGCGGAAUGUGUCAUGUAGCGGUGAAAUGCGUAGAGAUGACACAGAACACCGAUCGCGAAGGCAGCUCACUAAACUGUAACUGACGCUCAGGCACGAAAGCGUGGGGAUCAAACAGGAUUAGAUACCCGAGUAGUC
Molecule: ribosomal RNA, 460 nt
Filed under: uncultured bacterium
Lineage: Bacteria
Description: partial 16S ribosomal RNA
Rfam family: Bacterial small subunit ribosomal RNA
Source: RNAcentral